UGACCUCAGUUUAGGUGAGACUACCCGCCGAACUUAAGCAUAUCAGUAAGCGGAGGAAAAGAAACUAACAAGGAUUUCCCCAGUAGCUGCGAGCGAACAGGAAAGAGCUCAGCACCGAACCUCGCAGCCGGUAAAGCGGGUGCCGAGGAAUGUGGUGUUCGGGAGAAGCGCGAGCGCCUGUCCGGCUUCCGUCCAAGUCUCCAUGAACGGGGCGAGCAACCCAUAGAGGGUGUCAGGCCCGUAGAAUUGGCGGGCCGAUUGACCGUGCAUUUGCUUUCUUUCCCAAGAGUCGGGUUGCUUGAGCGUGCAGCCCUAAGCGGGAGGUAAACUCCUUCUAAAGCUAAAUACCGCCACGAGACCGAUAGCGAACAAGUACCGCGAGGGAAAGUUGAAAAGAACUUUGAAGAGAGAGUUCAACAGUGCGUGAAACCGUUCAGGGGGUUAAACGGGUGGGCCCUCGAAGGUCGAAAGGGCUCCACUCCCGGCACUUGGUAGCACGCCCCGGGCCUUGAUUUUUGCGAUCCGUUUAACGGCGGACGCCGGGCUCGGGAUAGCGUUAGCCGCGCCAAGGUCCGCUAGUUUGGAGCCCCGGUAGGACUCUGCGACCGGUUGGGCGAGCUGCUAUAAGGGGCGUUCGUUAGCUGUCGAUCGGGCUUCGGUUCGUUUGGCGGCGCGGCGUCUGCGAGCAGUCCUGCCCGACCGUGACCUGUCACUCUAGGGGCGCGCUUCGGCCGACUCCACGGAGCAACAUCAGAGCAGAGAGUAAAGAGUCGGGUCCCACCCGACCCGUCUUGAAACACGGACCAAGGAGUCUAACAUGUGCGCGAGUCGUCGAGUAUAAAACUAAACUCGCGAGGCGCAAUGAAAGUAAAGCAGCCCUGAUGAAGGUGUUUCUGCGAGGGGAGAUCCCGUCUCGAAUAGAGCGGGCGCAUCCCCAGGGCGUUCCGAAUCGCGACUUUUAGUCGAUGGAACGAACCCGGAGCGCACACGUUGGGACCCGAAAGAUGGUGACCUAUGCCUGACCAGGUUGAAGUCAGGGGAAACCCUGAUGGAGGACCGCAGCGAUUCUGACGUGCAAAUCGAUCGUCGGAGUUGGGUAUAGGGGCGAAAGACUAAUCGAACCAUCUAGUAGCUGGUUCCCCCCGAAGUUUCCCUCAGGAUAGCUGGUGCUCGCAAAGAGAACGAACGGAGUUUCAUCCGGUAAAGCGAAUGAUUAGAGGCCUUGGGGUCGAAACGACCUCAACCUAUUCUCAAACUUUCAAUGGGUGAGAAGCCCGGCCUUUAAAUUCUUGAUUGAGGCCGCGGCAUUCGAAUCUGAGCGCCCAGUGGGCCAUUUUUGGUAAGCAGAACUGGCGCUGUGGGAUGAACCAAACGUUCGGUUAAGGCGCCUAAACGACGCACAUUUCGGAUCCCACGAAAAGGAGUUGGUUGCUAAAGACAGCAGGACGGUGGCCAUGGAGGUCGGAAUCCGCUCAGGAGUGUGUAACAACUCACCUGCCGAAGCAACUAGCCCUUAAAAUGGGAGGCGCUAUAGCGUCGUGCCUAUACCGGACCGUCGGUCGGCAGAGCGAAUAUACCGGAACGAGGGCGAAGAGCCCUUCAAAGUCCGGCUGAGGCCCCGACGAGUAGGGGGGUCGCGACGGUGAGCGUUGAAGGGUUGUGGGCGCGAGCCUGCCCGGAGCCGCCGUCGGUGCAGAUCUUGGUGGUAGUAGCAAAUACUCCAGAGGGAUCCUGGAGGACUGACGCGGAGAAGGGUUUCAUGUGAACAGUGGUUGGACAUGAGUCAGUCGAUCCUAAGCCGCAGGAGAAAUCCGACCAAGGGACGGGUGUGAUUUUUUCAGCAAAAAAAAAAAAGGCUUCAAAAACUUUUUUUUUUUUUAACGAUAUAAAAAGAGGCCC
Non-coding RNA from Daphnia pulex (common water flea), 1899 nucleotides. Lineage: Eukaryota; Metazoa; Arthropoda; Branchiopoda; Diplostraca; Daphniidae. The record is from Rfam.